RNAcentral lists this ribosomal RNA (253 nucleotides) under uncultured bacterium. RNAcentral's name for it is "partial 16S ribosomal RNA". It matches the Rfam family "Bacterial small subunit ribosomal RNA", at positions 524 to 776 of the family's 1533-position model. The record is from RNAcentral.
UACGUAGGGGGCUAGCGUUGUCCGGAAUCAUUGGGCGUAAAGAGCGUGUAGGCGGCCCGGUAAGUCCGCUGUAAAAGUCACAGGCUCAACCUUUGAAUGUCAGUGGAUACUGCCGGGCUAGAGUCCGGAAGAGGCGAGUGGAACUCCUGGUGUAGCGGUGGAAUGCGCAGAUAUCAGGAAGAACACCAACGGCGAAGGCAGCUCGCUGGGACGGAACUGACGCUAAGGCGCGAAAGCGUGGGGAGCGAACAGG